This 467-nucleotide ribosomal RNA is filed under the name uncultured bacterium. RNAcentral describes it as "partial 16S ribosomal RNA". It matches the Rfam family "Bacterial small subunit ribosomal RNA", at positions 28 to 507 of the family's 1533-position model. The record is from RNAcentral.
GACGAACGCUGGCGGCGUGCUUAACACAUGCAAGUCGAACGGAAAGGCCCUGCUUUUGUGGGGUGCUCGAGUGGCGAACGGGUGAGUAACACGUGAGUAACCUGCCCUUGACUUUGGGAUACUUCAGGAAACUGGGGCUAAUACCGGAUAGGAGCUCCUGCUGCAUGGUGGGGGUUGGAAAGUUUCGGCGGUUGGGGAUGGACUCGCGGGUUAUCAGCUUGUUGGGGGGGGAGUGGCUUACCAAGGCUUUGACGGGUAGCCGGCCUGAGAGGGUGACCGGCCACAUUGGGACUGCGAUACGGCCCAGACUCCUACGGGAGGCAGCAGUGGGGAAUAUUGCACAAUGGGCGGAAGCCUGAUGCAGCAACGCCGCGUGCGGGAUGACGGCCUUCGGGUUGUAAACCGCUUUCGCCUGUGACGAAGCGUGAGUGACGGUAAUGGGUAAAGAAGCACCGGCUAACUACGUG